RNAcentral lists this ribosomal RNA (484 nucleotides) under uncultured bacterium. RNAcentral's name for it is "partial 16S ribosomal RNA". It matches the Rfam family "Bacterial small subunit ribosomal RNA", at positions 30 to 507 of the family's 1533-position model. The record is from RNAcentral.
AUUGAACGCUGGCGGCAGGCCUAACACAUGCAAGUCGAGCGGAUGAAGGAAGCUUGCUCCUGGAUUCAGCGGCGGACGGGUGAGUAAUGCCUAGGAAUCUGCCUGGUAGUGGGGGAUAACGUCCGGAAACGGGCGCUAAUACCGCAUACGUCCUGAGGGAGAAAGUGGGGGAUCUUCGGACCUCACGCUAUCAGAUGAGCCUAGGUCGGAUUAGCUAGUUGGUGGGGUAAAGGCCUACCAAGGCGACGAUCCGUAACUGGUCUGAGAGGAUGAUCAGUCACACUGGAACUGAGACACGGUCCAGACUCCUACGGGAGGCAGCAGUGGGGAAUAUUGGACAAAGGGCGAAAGCCUGAUCCAGCCAUGCCGCGUGUGUGAAGAAGGUCUUCGGAUUGUAAAGCACUUUAAGUUGGGAGGAAGGGCAGUAAGUUAAUACCUUGCUGUUUUGACGUUACCAACAGAAUAAGCACCGGCUAACUUCGUG